RNAcentral lists this ribosomal RNA (2915 nucleotides) under Escherichia coli. RNAcentral describes it as "bacterial LSU rRNA". It matches the Rfam family "Bacterial large subunit ribosomal RNA". The record is from RNAcentral. Lineage: Bacteria; Pseudomonadati; Pseudomonadota; Gammaproteobacteria; Enterobacterales; Enterobacteriaceae. RNAcentral also lists the same sequence under 1 other name.
GUUAAGCGACUAAGCGUACACGGUGGAUGCCCUGGCAGUCAGAGGCGAUGAAGGACGUGCUAAUCUGCGAUAAGCGUCGGUGAGGUGAUAUGAACCGUUAUAACCGGCGAUUUCCGAAUGGGGAAACCCAGUGUGUUUCGACACACUAUCAUUAACUGAAUCCAUAGGUUAAUGAGGCGAACCGGGGGAACUGAAACAUCUAAGUACCCCGAGGAAAAGAAAUCAACCGAGAUUCCCCCAGUAGCGGCGAGCGAACGGGGAGGAGCCCAGAGCCUGAAUCAGUGUGUGUGUUAGUGGAAGCGUCUGGAAAGGCGCGCGAUACAGGGUGACAGCCCCGUACACAAAAAUGCACAUGCUGUGAGCUCGAUGAGUAGGGCGGGACACGUGGUAUCCUGUCUGAAUAUGGGGGGACCAUCCUCCAAGGCUAAAUACUCCUGACUGACCGAUAGUGAACCAGUACCGUGAGGGAAAGGCGAAAAGAACCCCGGCGAGGGGAGUGAAAAAGAACCUGAAACCGUGUACGUACAAGCAGUGGGAGCCUCUUAAUGGGGUGACUGCGUACCUUUUGUAUAAUGGGUCAGCGACUUAUAUUCUGUAGCAAGGUUAACCGAAUAGGGGAGCCGAAGGGAAACCGAGUCUUAACUGGGCGUUAAGUUGCAGGGUAUAGACCCGAAACCCGGUGAUCUAGCCAUGGGCAGGUUGAAGGUUGGGUAACACUAACUGGAGGACCGAACCGACUAAUGUUGAAAAAUUAGCGGAUGACUUGUGGCUGGGGGUGAAAGGCCAAUCAAACCGGGAGAUAGCUGGUUCUCCCCGAAAGCUAUUUAGGUAGCGCCUCGUGAAUUCAUCUCCGGGGGUAGAGCACUGUUUCGGCAAGGGGGUCAUCCCGACUUACCAACCCGAUGCAAACUGCGAAUACCGGAGAAUGUUAUCACGGGAGACACACGGCGGGUGCUAACGUCCGUCGUGAAGAGGGAAACAACCCAGACCGCCAGCUAAGGUCCCAAAGUCAUGGUUAAGUGGGAAACGAUGUGGGAAGGCCCAGACAGCCAGGAUGUUGGCUUAGAAGCAGCCAUCAUUUAAAGAAAGCGUAAUAGCUCACUGGUCGAGUCGGCCUGCGCGGAAGAUGUAACGGGGCUAAACCAUGCACCGAAGCUGCGGCAGCGACACUAUGUGUUGUUGGGUAGGGGAGCGUUCUGUAAGCCUGUGAAGGUGUGCUGUGAGGCAUGCUGGAGGUAUCAGAAGUGCGAAUGCUGACAUAAGUAACGAUAAAGCGGGUGAAAAGCCCGCUCGCCGGAAGACCAAGGGUUCCUGUCCAACGUUAAUCGGGGCAGGGUGAGUCGACCCCUAAGGCGAGGCCGAAAGGCGUAGUCGAUGGGAAACAGGUUAAUAUUCCUGUACUUGGUGUUACUGCGAAGGGGGGACGGAGAAGGCUAUGUUGGCCGGGCGACGGUUGUCCCGGUUUAAGCGUGUAGGCUGGUUUUCCAGGCAAAUCCGGAAAACCAAGGCUGAGGCGUGAUGACGAGGCACUACGGUGCUGAAGCGACAAAUGCCCUGCUUCCAGGAAAAGCCUCUAAGCAUCAGGUAACAUCAAAUCGUACCCCAAACCGACACAGGUGGUCAGGUAGAGAAUACCAAGGCGCUUGAGAGAACUCGGGUGAAGGAACUAGGCAAAAUGGUGCCGUAACUUCGGGAGAAGGCACGCUGAUAUGUAGGUGAAGCGACUUGCUCGUGGAGCUGAAAUCAGUCGAAGAUACCAGCUGGCUGCAACUGUUUAUUAAAAACACAGCACUGUGCAAACACGAAAGUGGACGUAUACGGUGUGACGCCUGCCCGGUGCCGGAAGGUUAAUUGAUGGGGUUAGCGGUAACGCGAAGCUCUUGAUCGAAGCCCCGGUAAACGGCGGCCGUAACUAUAACGGUCCUAAGGUAGCGAAAUUCCUUGUCGGGUAAGUUCCGACCUGCACGAAUGGCGUAAUGAUGGCCAGGCUGUCUCCACCCGAGACUCAGUGAAAUUGAACUCGCUGUGAAGAUGCAGUGUACCCGCGGCAAGACGGAAAGACCCCGUGAACCUUUACUAUAGCUUGACACUGAACAUUGAGCCUUGAUGUGUAGGAUAGGUGGGAGGCUUUGAAGUGUGGACGCCAGUCUGCAUGGAGCCGACCUUGAAAUACCACCCUUUAAUGUUUGAUGUUCUAACGUUGGCCCGUAAUCCGGGUUGCGGACAGUGUCUGGUGGGUAGUUUGACUGGGGCGGUCUCCUCCUAAAGAGUAACGGAGGAGCACGAAGGUUGGCUAAUCCUGGUCGGACAUCAGGAGGUUAGUGCAAUGGCAUAAGCCAGCUUGACUGCGAGCGUGACGGCGCGAGCAGGUGCGAAAGCAGGUCAUAGUGAUCCGGUGGUUCUGAAUGGAAGGGCCAUCGCUCAACGGAUAAAAGGUACUCCGGGGAUAACAGGCUGAUACCGCCCAAGAGUUCAUAUCGACGGCGGUGUUUGGCACCUCGAUGUCGGCUCAUCACAUCCUGGGGCUGAAGUAGGUCCCAAGGGUAUGGCUGUUCGCCAUUUAAAGUGGUACGCGAGCUGGGUUUAGAACGUCGUGAGACAGUUCGGUCCCUAUCUGCCGUGGGCGCUGGAGAACUGAGGGGGGCUGCUCCUAGUACGAGAGGACCGGAGUGGACGCAUCACUGGUGUUCGGGUUGUCAUGCCAAUGGCACUGCCCGGUAGCUAAAUGCGGAAGAGAUAAGUGCUGAAAGCAUCUAAGCACGAAACUUGCCCCGAGAUGAGUUCUCCCUGAGACUUAGAGUCUCCUGAAGGAACGUUGAAGACGACGACGUUGAUAGGCCGGGUGUGUAAGCGCAGCGAUGCGUUGAGCUAACCGGUACUAAUGAACCGUGAGGCUUAACCUUACAACGCCGAAG